RNAcentral lists this ribosomal RNA (425 nucleotides) under uncultured bacterium. RNAcentral's name for it is "bacterial SSU rRNA". It matches the Rfam family "Bacterial small subunit ribosomal RNA", at positions 354 to 796 of the family's 1533-position model. The record is from RNAcentral.
GUGGGGAAUAUUGGACAAUGGGCGCAAGCCUGAUCCAGCCAUGCCGCGAGAGUGAUGAAGGCCCUAGGGUUGUAAAGCUCUUUCACCGGUGAAGAUAAUGACGGUAACCGGAGAAGAAGCCCCGGCUAACUUCGUUCCAGCAGCCGCGGUAAUACGAAGGGGGCUAGCGUUGUUCGGAAUUACUGGGCGUAAAGCGCACGUAGGCGGGUAUUUAAGUCAGGGGUGAAAUCCCAGAGCUCAACUCUGGUACUGCCUUUGAUACUGGGUACCUAGAGUAUGGAAGAGGUAAGUGGAAUUCCGAGUGUAGAGGUGAAAUUCGUAGAUAUUCGGAGGAACACCAGUGGCGAAGGCGGCUUACUGGUCCAUUACUGACGCUGAGGUGCGAAAGCGUGGGGAGCAAACAGGAUUAGAUACCCGUGUAGUCC